GACCAAUGAAACAUUUCCAUCGCUGAUCACUGUGACUAAGGGGUUGAGCUCUAAUAUAUUAUGCAUGCAAUUGAUAGGCAUCUAUAGGAUUAUAAUCUCCAACACCUGAAUAGAAACCCUGCAUCUAAUACCUUUCCAAUAAGUUACACCCCCAAAUCAUCUUGUUAGUCGAGAAAUAGAUUUGCUCAAUUAGGAUUGCUAUUUACUUUAAAACCAUAAAACAACAAACAUUUAGAAUUAAUAAAUUACUAGAUUUAAUAGGUUCCCUAACUCCUUGUGGAUUUGAUCCCUAAGUACUACAAUUGAACCUCUUAUUUGAGAGAGUAAUUCACACCUUAGCGUAAUUUGAGUGGUAUCAAAUUUGGCACCGUUGCUGGGGAGCUUUGAUCGCCAUUAGAUUUAGCGUUAUUAAUUCUUUUCUUUUUCUUUACCCCCAUUCUGACACAAAACGUUUUCUUGUCUUUUCAAGUGCAUGCCCAGCAGUACAAGAAGCAAAAAGGAAAAACACCUGCUAUUCUCAGAAGAUCCUGCUCACCUGGAACACACGAUCCGCAAAGGUCAACGUUCCACAUCGCUCGAUGCAGCAGCUUUCACGUCGACUGAUUCUCGCAC
Molecule: long non-coding RNA, 612 nt
Filed under: Brassica napus (rape)
Lineage: Eukaryota; Viridiplantae; Streptophyta; Magnoliopsida; Brassicales; Brassicaceae
Description: long non-coding RNA (BNAP_LNC002194)
Source: RNAcentral